RNAcentral lists this ribosomal RNA (1218 nucleotides) under Escherichia coli. RNAcentral's name for it is "partial 23S ribosomal RNA". It matches the Rfam family "Bacterial large subunit ribosomal RNA", at positions 1 to 1251 of the family's 2925-position model. The record is from RNAcentral. Lineage: Bacteria; Pseudomonadati; Pseudomonadota; Gammaproteobacteria; Enterobacterales; Enterobacteriaceae.
GGGUUGUGAGGUUAAGCGACUAAGCGUACACGGUGGAUGCCCUGGCAGUCAGAGGCGAUGAAGGACGUGCUAAUCUGCGAUAAGCGUCGGUAAGGUGAUAUGAACCGUUAUAACCGGCGAUUUCCGAAUGGGGAAACCCAGUGUGUUUCGACACACUAUCAUUAACUGAAUCCAUAGGUUAAUGAGGCGAACCGGGGGAACUGAAACAUCUAAGUACCCCGAGGAAAAGAAAUCAACCGAGAUUCCCCCAGUAGCGGCGAGCGAACGGGGAGCAGCCCAGAGCCUGAAUCAGUAUGUGUGUUAGUGGAAGCGUCUGGAAAGGCGCGCGAUACAGGGUGACAGCCCCGUACACAAAAAUGCACAUAUUGUGAGCUCGAUGAGUAGGGCGGGACACGUGGUAUCCUGUCUGAAUAUGGGGGGACCAUCCUCCAAGGCUAAAUACUCCUGACUGACCGAUAGUGAACCAGUACCGUGAGGGAAAGGCGAAAAGAACCCCGGCGAGGGGAGUGAAAAAGAACCUGAAACCGUGUACGUACAAGCAGUGGGAGCACGCUUAGGCGUGUGACUGCGUACCUUUUGUAUAAUGGGUCAGCGACUUAUAUUCUGUAGCAAGGUUAACCGAAUAGGGGAGCCGAAGGGAAACCGAGUCUUAACUGGGCGUUAAGUUGCAGGGUAUAGACCCGAAACCCGGUGAUCUAGCCAUGGGCAGGUUGAAGGUUGGGUAACACUAACUGGAGGACCGAACCGACUAAUGUUGAAAAAUUAGCGGAUGACUUGUGGCUGGGGGUGAAAGGCCAAUCAAACCGGGAGAUAGCUGGUUCUCCCCGAAAGCUAUUUAGGUAGCGCCUCGUGAACUCAUCUCCGGGGGUAGAGCACUGUUUCGGCAAGGGGGUCAUCCCGACUUACCAACCCGAUGCAAACUGCGAAUACCGGAGAAUGUUAUCACGGGAGACACACGGCGGGUGCUAACGUCCGUCGUGAAGAGGGAAACAACCCAGACCGCCAGCUAAGGUCCCAAAGUCAUGGUUAAGUGGGAAACGAUGUGGGAAGGCCCAGACAGCCAGGAUGUUGGCUUAGAAGCAGCCAUCAUUUAAAGAAAGCGUAAUAGCUCACUGGUCGAGUCGGCCUGCGCGGAAGAUGUAACGGGGCUAAACCAUGCACCGAAGCUGCGGCAGCGACACUAUGUGUUGUUGGGUAGGGGAGCGUUCUGUAAGCCUG